Molecule: ribosomal RNA, 457 nt
Filed under: uncultured bacterium
Lineage: Bacteria
Description: partial 16S ribosomal RNA
Rfam family: Bacterial small subunit ribosomal RNA
Source: RNAcentral
GAUGAACGCUGGCGGCGUGCCUAAUACAUGCAAGUCGUACGGAAAGGCCCUUCGGGGUACUCGAGUGGCGGACGGCUGAGUAACGCGUGGGAACGUGCCCCAAAGUGAGGGAUAACGCACCGAAAGGUGUGCUAAUACCGCAUAUGGUCUUCGGAUUAAAGCUUCGGCGCUUUGGGAGGGGCCCGCGUACGAUUAGAUAGUUGGUGAGGUAAUGGCCCACCAAGUCGACGAUCGUUAGCUGGUCUGAGAGGAUGAUCAGCCAGAGUGGGACUGAGACACGGACCAGACUCCUACGGGAGGCAGCAGUAAGGAAUCUUCCACAAUGGGGGCAACCCUGAUGGAGCAACGCCGCGUGCAGGAUGAAGGUUUUCGGAUCGUAAACUGCUUUUGUAAGUGAAGAUUAUGACGGUAACUUAUGAAUAAGGAUCGGCUAACUACGUGCCAGCCGCCGCGGCAA